AAUGGGCGAAAGCCUGACGGAGCAACGCCGCGUGAGGGAUGAAGGCCUCUGGGCUGUAAACCUCUUUUAUCAAGGAAGAAGAUCUGACGGUACUUGAUGAAUAAGCCACGGCUAAUUCCGUGCCAGCAGCCGCGGUAAUACGGGAGUGGCAAGCGUUAUCCGGAAUUAUUGGGCGUAAAGCGUCCGCAGGCGGCCCUUCAAGUCUGCUGUUAAAAAGUGGAGCUUAACUCCAUCAUGGCAGUGGAAACUGUUGGGCUUGAGUGUGGUAGGGGCAGAGGGAAUUCCCGGUGUAGCGGUGAAAUGCGUAGAUAUCGGGAAGAACACCAGUGGCGAAGGCGCUCUGCUGGGCCAUCACUGACGCUCAUGGGCGAAAGCCAGGGGAGCGAAAGGGAUU
This 394-nucleotide ribosomal RNA is filed under the name uncultured Gammaproteobacteria bacterium. RNAcentral describes it as "bacterial SSU rRNA". It matches the Rfam family "Bacterial small subunit ribosomal RNA", at positions 370 to 779 of the family's 1533-position model. The record is from RNAcentral. Lineage: Bacteria; Pseudomonadati; Pseudomonadota; Gammaproteobacteria.